GAUGAAGAACGCAGCGAAAUGCGAUAAGUAAUGUGAAUUGCAGAAUUCAGUGAAUCAUCGAAUCUUUGAACGCACAUUGCGCCCGCCAGUAUUCUGGCGGGCAUGCCUGUCUGAGCGUCAUUUCAACCCUCAUGCCCCUAGGGCGUGGUGUUGGGGAUCGGCCAAAGCCCGCGAGGGACGGCCGGCCCCGAAAUCUAGUGGCGGACCCGUCGUGGCCUCCUCUGCGAAGUAGUGAUAUUCCGCAUCGGAGAGCGAUGAGCCCCUGCCGUUAAACCCCCAACUUUCCAAGGUUGACCUCAGAUCAGGUAGGAAUACCCGCUGAACUUAAGCAUAUCAAUAAGCGGAGGA
This 348-nucleotide unclassified non-coding RNA is filed under the name soil metagenome. Its description in RNAcentral is "partial contains 5.8S ribosomal RNA, internal transcribed spacer 2, and large subunit ribosomal RNA". The stretch from base 1 to 120 matches the Rfam family "5.8S ribosomal RNA", at positions 35 to 154 of the family's 154-position model. The record is from RNAcentral.